RNAcentral lists this ribosomal RNA (392 nucleotides) under Aplanochytrium sp. RNAcentral's name for it is "partial small subunit ribosomal RNA". It matches the Rfam family "Eukaryotic small subunit ribosomal RNA", at positions 582 to 975 of the family's 1831-position model. Lineage: Eukaryota; Bigyra; Thraustochytrida; Thraustochytriidae. The record is from RNAcentral.
AUUCCAGCUCCAAUAGCGUAUAUUAAAGUUGUUGCAGUUAAAAAGCUCGUAGUUGGAUUUCUGGUGGGAGUGACCGUUCCGGGCUUGAUUGUCCGUGUAAUGAGUUGCAUCCAGCCAUCCUCGCGGAGAGCGUCUCUGUCAUUAAUUUGAUGGAGUCGGGACCCGUGUCGUUUACUGUGAAAAAAUUAGAGUGUUUAAAGCGGGCAAUUAGCUUGAAUACAUUAGGAUGGAAUAAUAAGAUAGGACUUUGGUACUAUUUUGUUGGUUUGCAUACCAAAGUAAUGAUUAACAGGAACAGUUGUGGAUAUUCGUAUGAGCAUGUCAGAGGUGAAAUUCUUGGAUUUUGAUCAGACGAACUACUGCGAAAGCAUUUAUCAAGGAUGUUUUCAUCG